UACGUAGGGGGCUAGCGUUGCUCGGAAUCACUGGGCGUAAAGCGCACGUAGGCGGAUUGCUAAGUCAGGGGUGAAAUCCUGGAGCUCAACUCCAGAACUGCCUUUGAUACUGGCGAUCUUGAGUCCGGGAGAGGUGAGUGGAACUGCGAGUGUAGAGGUGAAAUUCGUAGAUAUUCGCAAGAACACCAGUGGCGAAGGCGGCUCACUGGCGCGGUACUGACGCUGAGGCGCGAAAGCUAGGGGAGCAAACGGG
This 253-nucleotide ribosomal RNA is filed under the name uncultured bacterium. RNAcentral describes it as "partial 16S ribosomal RNA". It matches the Rfam family "Bacterial small subunit ribosomal RNA", at positions 524 to 776 of the family's 1533-position model. The record is from RNAcentral.